Molecule: microRNA, 20 nt
Filed under: Tetranychus urticae (two-spotted spider mite)
Lineage: Eukaryota; Metazoa; Arthropoda; Arachnida; Trombidiformes; Tetranychidae
Description: tur-miR-5729a-3p
Source: miRBase by way of RNAcentral
GAUCGAACCCAGUCAGGGUG